This 301-nucleotide ribosomal RNA is filed under the name uncultured bacterium. Its description in RNAcentral is "partial 16S ribosomal RNA". It matches the Rfam family "Bacterial small subunit ribosomal RNA", at positions 509 to 807 of the family's 1533-position model. The record is from RNAcentral.
CAGCCGCCGCGGUAAUACGGAGUGUGCAAGCGUUAAUCGGAAUUACUGGGCGUAAAGCGCACGCAGGCGGUCUGACAAGUCAGAUGUGAAAUCCCCGGGCUUAACCUGGGAACUGCAUUUGAAACUGUCAGGCUGGAGUCUUGUAGAGGGGGGUAGAAUUCCAGGUGUAGCGGUGAAAUGCGUAGAGAUCUGGAGGAAUACCGGUGGCGAAGGCGGCCCCCUGGACAAAGACUGACGCUCAGGUGCGAAAGCGUGGGGAGCAAACAGGAUUAGAUACCCCAGUAGUCCCUGUCUCUUAUAC